GCGCCCUUAGCUCAGCUGGAUAGAGCGUCUGACUACGAAUCAGAAGGUCGGGAGUUCGAAUCUCUCAGGGCGCGCCA
This 77-nucleotide transfer RNA is filed under the name Acidobacteriota bacterium. RNAcentral's name for it is "tRNA-Arg". It matches the Rfam family "tRNA". From Rfam's summary of the family: Transfer RNA (tRNA) molecules are approximately 80 nucleotides in length. Their secondary structure includes four short double-helical elements and three loops (D, anti-codon, and T loops). RNAcentral also lists the same sequence under 7 other names. The record is from RNAcentral. Lineage: Bacteria; Pseudomonadati; Acidobacteriota.